AUACAGACUCUGAGGAAAUCAAAGCAGGUCCCAAGUCAUAGCCUGAGCUCAUCCUACAAAGCCCAUUAUUACUUCAGAAAACUACAUAGAGCCCUAGUCAGUCUCUGGUCUCACACAGAAUCUGAUUUCCAACCUUAUCACAAGGCUGAACUCAGGAGCCCUCAUCACACUGCACAGGACCACUCUCCCUCGGCUCAGCUUUAUCAUGAAGUCCUGAUCCGGUGCAGCCACUUAGGAAGAUGUAAGACCAGCUGGAAAGAAGGAGAAAGUUUGUAGCAUGGUGGGCCACCUGUGAGAGAACUGCCAUCCCAACCUGCAAAGCCCCACGGAGCAGGAGAGGACUCACGGGGAGGACCACAAGACUGAUCCUCUGAGUGGUCAGCGCUGACCCCCUAAGAUGCUGAGAGGUGGUCUACCAAGAACCUCCCCCCACUGACCUGCAGGAGACUAGCAGACACCCUUCCAGCCCAUUGGAAAAAUAAGUGCUGGAGAUUGCUCCUGCAUCCUGGACAACCUGAAGCUGUGACUCCUUAGGGAUCCAAGUCCCUAGAGCACCAGCCAGAGACACUGGUCAAAGGCUGCAAAUGGGCAGCCAUCCAGCCUUCCUCCCUCACUGCCCACUGCCUUGGAGGAGCCAGGCUCCUGGGGACUGCUGGAGAGACGAGGACCAUCCAGCUUCCGCCCCAGGAUCCAAGGUGCUGUCCAGCAGACCCCAUCCAUCACAGGCAAGCUUGUAGUGGUGCCACAGUGCUGCCAUGGCCCUCUGGGAAGAUGAUGGGAACACAGCCACUCAUGUCCAGCACCAGUCUUCACAUAAGGCCACCCAUGGACCCCUGACACUGGAAAGCAGGCAGAGCCAUGGGACCCUCUGCAGCCACCAGCAUGACCCCACACAGUAGUCCUCCCUAGAGGACUGUACCUCUAGCUGCUCAGCUGUGUGUUGGGGCUUUGAAAGACUUCAUGACUAGAGGGCUCCCAUCUCCAUAUCCCCCAUCUGCCAGGAUGCAGAUGGUCCCAAUGUCCUCAGGCUCUAGAAGCUUCCAGCGAGCAUCUCACCCUGGGCCAGACCUCCAGCCCACUUCCCCUGGCUGCUCCGACCUCAGGUAUUGCGAUGAAAAACAAACGCAGCUUGUGGUUUGCCUUUUCCAUCGCCUCCUCCGGCUGCCUGGCCCAAGGUGCUGAGGC
Molecule: long non-coding RNA, 1185 nt
Organism: Mus musculus (house mouse)
Lineage: Eukaryota; Metazoa; Chordata; Mammalia; Rodentia; Muridae
Product: predicted gene, 51865
Exons: 4
Source: RefSeq, a predicted model, not a curated record